This 462-nucleotide ribosomal RNA is filed under the name uncultured bacterium. RNAcentral's name for it is "bacterial SSU rRNA". It matches the Rfam family "Bacterial small subunit ribosomal RNA", at positions 28 to 490 of the family's 1533-position model. The record is from RNAcentral.
GACGAACGCUGGCGGCGUGCUUAACACAUGCAAGUCGAACGAGAAUCUGUGGAAAGAGGAUUCGUCCAAUUGAAGCAGAGGACAGUGGCGGACGGGUGAGUAACGCGUGAGGAACCUGCCUUUCAGAGGGGGACAACAGUUGGAAACGACUGCUAAUACCGCAUGACACAUCGGGGUCGCAUGGCUCUGAUGUCAAAGAUUUANCGCUGAAAGAUGGCCUCGCGUCUGAUUAGCUAGUUGGUGAGGUAACGGCCCACCAAGGCGACGAUCAGUAGCCGACCUGAGAGGGUGAUCGGCCACAUUGGGACUGAGACACGGCCCAAAACUCCUACGGGAGGCAGCAGUGGGGGAUAUUGCACAAUGGAGGAAACUCUGAUGCAGCGACGCCGCGUGAGUGAAGAAGUAUUUCGGUAUGUAAAGCUCUAUCAGCAGGGAAGAUAAUGACAGUACCUGACUAAGAAG